AGUAAUGCAUAGGAAUCUACCUAGUAGUAUGGGAUAGCCACUAGAAAUGGUGGGUAAUACUGUAUAAUCCCUGCGGGGGAAAGAUUUAUCGCUAUUAGAUGAGCCUAUGUCAGAUUAGCUAGUUGGUGGGGUAAUGGCCUACCAGCGGUGAUCUGUAGCUGGUCUGAGAGGAUGAUCAGCCACACUGGAACUGAGACACGGUCCAGACUCCUACGGGAGGCAGCAGUGGGGAACGGUGGACAAUGGGCGCAAGCCUGAUCCAGCUAUGCCGCGUGAGUGAGGAAGGAAGUAGGGUUGUAAAACUCUUUCACUAGGGAAGAUAAUGACGGUACCUACAG
This 338-nucleotide ribosomal RNA is filed under the name Anaplasma marginale. RNAcentral describes it as "bacterial SSU rRNA". It matches the Rfam family "Bacterial small subunit ribosomal RNA", at positions 109 to 484 of the family's 1533-position model. Lineage: Bacteria; Pseudomonadati; Pseudomonadota; Alphaproteobacteria; Rickettsiales; Anaplasmataceae. The record is from RNAcentral.